Molecule: ribosomal RNA, 1241 nt
Filed under: metagenome
Description: bacterial LSU rRNA
Rfam family: Bacterial large subunit ribosomal RNA
Source: RNAcentral
AGUAUACCAAGGGGCGCGAGACAACUCUCUCUAAGGAACUCGGCAAAAUUACCUCGUAACUUCGGAAGAAGAGGUACCCCUUCACGGGGGUUGCAAUAGAUUGACCCUGGCGACUGUUUACCGAAAACACAGGUCUCCGCUAAUUCGUAAGAAAAAGUAUGGGGGCUGACGCCUGCCCAGUGCCGGAAGGUUAAAGAAGUUGGUUAGUCCUUGGACAAAGCUAGCGACUGAAGCCCCGGUGAACGGCGGCCGUAACAAUAACGGUCCUAAGGUAGCGAAAUUCCUUGUCGGGUAAGUUCCGACCCGCACGAAAGGCGUAACGAUCAGGGUACUGUCUCGGAGAGAGGCUCGGCGAAAUAGACAUGUCUGUGAAGAUGCGGACUACCUGCACCUGGACAGAAAGACCCUAUGAAGCUUUACUGUAUCUUGGAAUUGGGUUUGGUCUUUGCAUGCGCAGGAUAGGUGGGAGGCUUUGAAGAUGAUCUUGCGGGGUCGUUGGAGCCACUGGUGAGAUACCACCCUUGCAAUGAUAAAAUCCUAACUUUGAACCGUUAUCCGGUCAAAGAACAGUUUCAGGUGGGCAGUUUGACUGGGGCGGUCGCCUCCUAAAAGGUAACGGAGGCGUGCAGAGGUUCCCUCAGGCUGGUUUGACAUCAGUCGUAGAGUGUAAAGGCAUAAGGGAGCUUGACUGUGAGACCAACAAGUCGAGCAGAGACGAAAGUCGGCCUUAGUGAUCCGGCGCUUCCGAGUGGAAGGGGCGUCGCUCAACGGAUAAAAGUUACUCUAAGGAUAACAGGCUGAUCUCCCCCAAGAGUUCACAUCGACGGGGAGGUUUGGCACCUGGAUGUCGGCUCAUCGCAUCCUGGGGCGGUAGUACGUCCCAAGGGUUGGGCUGUUCGCCCAUGAAAGCGGUACGCGAGCUGGGUUCAGAACGUCGUGAGACAUUUCGGUCCAUAUCCGGUGCAGGCGUUAGAGUAUUGCGAAGACUCCUCCUUAGUACGAGAGGACCGGGGGGAAUGCACCGCUGGUGUACCAGUUAUCGUGCCAACGGUAAACGCUGGGUAGCCAAGUGCAGUUUGGAUAACUGCUGAAAGCAUCUAAGUAGGAAGCCAGCUUCAAGAUGAGUACUCUCACCGCUUCAAGCGGGUAAGAUCACGGCAAGAACAGCCGUUUGAUAGGCAUCAAGUGUAAGUGCAGUAAUGUAUUCAGCUGAGAUGUACUAAUAGAUCGAGGGCUUAUCA